AUGGCCUCUCCUACCUUAUCGAGCACCCACCUCCCCCCAACGCCGAUUCCCAGUACCUUGAGCUCGACGCCCAUGUCACUCUGGGGUGUAUGCCACUCUUGCGGACUCCAUCAUCGACCACGUCAUCGGCGCCACCACCACCUACGAUCUCUGGACCCGGAUCAACGCCUACUUCCUCGCCAACCGCGCUGCUCGGUACAUGACGCUCAACCGGCAGUACCGCAAUCUCAAGCAGGGAGAUCUCUCGGUCGCCGAGUAUGCGCGGCGCAUGAAGCUGCUCACUGCUGGCCUCGCCGACAUCGACCACGCCGUCACCGAGGUCGACCUCACCACCCAGUUCCUCCAUGGCCUUGA
This 354-nucleotide ribosomal RNA is filed under the name Triticum aestivum (bread wheat). RNAcentral describes it as "partial small subunit ribosomal RNA". The record is from RNAcentral. Lineage: Eukaryota; Viridiplantae; Streptophyta; Magnoliopsida; Poales; Poaceae.